AAGCAAAUUACAAAGGGAAGAAACACUCACUGAGUACCUGCCUUGUGCCAGACCCUCGACCAAUGUUACAUUACAUUCUGACAAUAACACCAGGAUGUAGAUACUGAUAUUAUCCCCAUUUUGCAGUUAAGAAGAAUGAGGCUCAGACAGGUGCAGUAACUUGAUCAAGGUCACUCAGCUAUAACAAGGGGAGUUGGGACUAACCUGGGCUUAGCUGGGGCUCUCCUUACUGCUCUAGGUGACACCAAAAGUACAACUACAGCUGUUGGAAGAGGGAAGGGAGGCUGUGUGUUAGGGAUUCCUAAGGAAUCACGAACCUCUUGUGAAAUGAUUAUCAAUUCUCUUCUAUGUUCUCCUCUGUUUGAUCUAGAAAGGAAGAAACUUGGAAGCUGGCCAAGUAAAAUAAUUUUAUUCAUUCAUUUGUCUUUCUAUCAAUCCAUCCCCCUAUACCUCCUUUCUUCCAUCCUUCCAUUGUUACAUUCACUCAUUCAUCUAUUCUCCCAUCCAUCCAUCCAUCCAUCCAUCCAUCCAUCUACUCGUUCAUCUAGCCAUUUCCACUCAUCUCUCUGCAUUCUUCUAUCUUCUUCCAUUCUACCUUCUUCCAUUCUUCUAUCUUCCCAUCCAUCCAUCCAUCCAUCCAUCCAUCCAUCCAUCCAGCUAUCCAUCCAUCUAUCUACCCAUCCAUUUUUUAUUCAUUCACCUAUCCAUCCACUUGUCAACUCUCCAUCCAUCCUUUCCAUUCAUCCUCUCUUCCACCCAUCCAUCUUUCUACUCAUCUCUCUGUCUCUCCUUUUCUUCCAGCCUCUCAUCUUCCCAUUUAUCUACCUAUUAUACAUCCAUUCUUCCUUUCUUCCAUCAUUUCAGCUAUCUAUCCAUUUAUUCAUUUAGUCAUUGACUUUAAACAUUUUAUUUUCUUCUUUUAAAAUUAUUUAAUUAAUUUUUUGCCUUUCCUAUGGUGCUGAUAGUUAUUGACUCUUUUUUCUUUGUUUUUUUUUUUUGUUUGUUUGUUUUUCUGUUUUUUUUUUGUUUUGUUUUUUUGAGUCUAGGUCUUGCUGUAUUGCCCAAGGCUGGAGGACAGUGAUGCAAUCAUGGCUCCCUGCAGCCUUGAUCUUCUGAGCUCAGUCCCUGCUUUGAUAACCACAGGCAGCUACGGGAAAGAGUGGGAAAAGUGAGAUAGUCCCAAGAAACAGGCAACAGCAGGGUCUCUUCGAUCAGAAAUUUGGGAGACAAGGAAGGGCUGUUUUGCUGCAAUUCACUUGAUGUCAAAGCAGGAAAGACCUCGGACAAAGCUUCAAGUCUAACCUUUUUUGUUCUCGGAGACAGAGUCUUGUGAUAUUGCCCAGGCUGGUCUUGAACUCCUGGCUUCAAGUAAUCCUCCCGCUUCAGUCUCCCAAAGUGCUGGGCUUACAGGUGAGAGCCACCGUGCCCCGUCCUGGCUUCUGUUAUUAUCACGUGGCUAGCGUAAGGGGUGUUGGGUAGGUAGCUCCCUUUCUGGGAAACAUUGGCCCCAUCCACCCACAUCCGAUGGGGCUCUCCCAUUUCAACAGGUCUUAAGAAGCCAUCUCCUCAACAAAAGUGGGCCCCUGGGAGGAAUUCUCCUGACAGCCACUAAAACAGUAUGCUUGACCUGCAUCUCAUAACGCAUCCAGGAGGAAAUGAAAGCACAGACAGCUGGAGAACCAGGCCCAAGGUCACAAAACUUAGGUGUAGCAGAGCUGAGAAUUCAAUGUGCAUUUGAUGCUAAGCCAGG
Molecule: long non-coding RNA, 1750 nt
Organism: Homo sapiens (human)
Lineage: Eukaryota; Metazoa; Chordata; Mammalia; Primates; Hominidae
Exons: 4
Source: RefSeq, a predicted model, not a curated record